AGUCAAGGGAGGAAGUUCCUGGAGAAGUAGAAGUACUGCGUGGUUAGCGUCCGGUCACUCUUCAGAGCAGCCUUGUACUUACUACGUUUCAGUGUCUCUCCUUGCAGCUUUUCGUAACUUUAACGAACUAUGCUCCUUUCGUGUCUCAGUUUCUAUAUCUGUUUCGCCAAGCGCCGCUCGGAAGGGUUAAUUCAGGAGCGAGCCCUACUGGAAAAGGCGGCUUUGUGUGGAAGUUUGCACCUGGGAGGUGAGAGCUGGACGGAACGUUAAAGAGCCCUGAAGGCUUAACUCUACGCUUCUGAGGUUAAAAAAGAGAGAGAGAGAAAGAAACGGCUCCAGAAAGAGGCGGAUGACACCCCAGGUUACAUGGCAAAAAAGUGACUAAACUGAGAACUCAGGGCACCAAUCUCCCAGUUUCCCCAUUGAGAUUUCAUCCUGUUACAUUUCCCGGCAUCACCUUGUUCUUGCUUUGAACCCUUGCGACUUUUUUUUUGUAGAUGGAAAAGAUUCUUUUAGUUGGUAUUUGGAGACAUCUAGUGAAAGAAUAUGAAAGCAAAGGUCGAGUCCGCAAGUUCUGGUAGUUCGUGGAAUUAAAAAGUGAGCAUGAUUAGAGUUUACAGCUAAAAAUCCUUGGACUUGGAUCUGAAAUUUGCGAAGGUGCUACAAUUUGAUCAGGAGAGUGGGUAAAAUUAAUACUUGCAUUAUUGUUUUAAUUAUUUGUAGCUCUUUUUACUCUAAACGCUGACAUUUUUUUUUAAGGAAUGAAAAAAUGCGCCUUUAGAUAUUUUGAAAGGAUGUUAUUUCAGUAUAUGAGUUAAUACAUUCCGUGCAGCAGAAUCUUUAUUUGAAAGCACGCUUAUGGAUAAAGGUUAGUCUUUAGUUCACUUACUGAUUCCAUCUGCUCCAUUACCUAGUCUUGCUUAAGUUCUAAGUGCUUAAAAAACUCAUAAGCAGUUUACAGCUCUGCACUUUGCAGCUGUUCGAUCUUUUCCAAAUUCAACAUAUGCAGAUUUUCAGGUUGGCUAUGUGAAGCUAAGUACCACCAAACAUAAUGUUCUACAACAUGGGAAGUAUUUCUGUAAUAGUUAAUGGACUUUAUUAAGUGGGUUGCUUUAGUUUUCCCAGAGCCACCAUUUCUUUUCCACUAUGAAGGGCGGUUUAUAUAAAAAUAGUAUCUUGGAGUUCCCAUAGUGGCUCCAGGAAUGAAUCUGACUAGCAUCCAUGAAGACUCAGGAUCCCUGGCCUUGCUCAGUGGGUUGAGGAUCCAGCAUUGGCACUCACAUCCUGAGUUGCUGUGGCACCACUGGCCUAUGCCAGAGCCACAGCAACGCGGGAUCCGAGCCGCGUCUGCAACCUACACCACAGCUCACGGCAACGCCGGAUCGUUAACCCACUGAGCAAGGGCAGGGACCGAACCCGCAACCUCAUGGUUCCUAGUCGGAUUCGUUAACCACUGCGCCAUGACGGGAACUCCNNNNNNNNNNNNNNNNNUCUAAUCUGAGCUGUAGCCGCUGGCCUACACCAGAGCCACAGCAACGCCAGAUCCAAGCCGCAUCUGCAACCUACACCACAGCUCAUGGCAACACUGGAUCCUUAACUCACUGAGCAAGGCCAGGAAUCGAACUGCAACCUCAUGGUUCCUAGUUGGAUUCGUUAACCACUGAGCCACGACGGGAACUCCUUGAAUUAUUUCUGAGUUGAAAAUACAUAUAUAUUUAAAAGUUUAAGUCUUAUUUAUUUAUUUAUUUAUUUGGCCAUGCUUGCAGCAUACAGAAGUUCACAGGCCUGGAGCCACAGCAGUGACUGCAAGAUCCUUAACCUACUAGGCUGCCAGGGAACUCUCCAAAUUUUAAAUUUUUAUGUGGAUAGUGAUAAAUAUAUGUAAAAUGUAUAAAGUGAAACUUGAUAAGAUUAUAAAGAAAAAUGUAUGUGGCCAUAUUAGGUGAUUUUAACAAGCCUUUCCCAGUGAUUAAGACAAGCAAAAAAAAAAAAAAAAUCAUCAUGGACUUGGAGAAUAGACUUGUGGCUGCCGGACGGGAGAGGGAGGGAGUGGGAGGAAUCGGGAGCUUGGGGUUAUCAGAUACAACUUACAAUAGAUUUACAAGGAGAUCCUGCUGAGUAGCAUUGAGAACUAUGUCUAGAUACUCAUAUUGCAACAGAACAAAGGGUGGAAAAAAAAAUGUAUACAUGUAAGAAUAACUUGAUCCCCAUGCUGUACAGCGGGAAAAAUGAAAUAAAAAAUUUUAAAAAAU
RNAcentral lists this long non-coding RNA (2252 nucleotides) under Sus scrofa (pig). Its description in RNAcentral is "lncRNA (ENSSSCG00065077420.1)". The record is from RNAcentral. Lineage: Eukaryota; Metazoa; Chordata; Mammalia; Artiodactyla; Suidae.